CAAUGAUAAUGACUUUUGAUUGUCUUAAACUUCUGUGAGCAAGGUUUGUGUUCACAUUUUUGGUUAAGUGCCAUUGCAGAGAGCUACAGCAACUGAAAGUUUCGUGACAUGAUAUUCAACAUGAAAUUUAAUUUACUACUUAUUCUGAUGACUUUCAUGGUCAGCAACGCAAAAUAUUCAGGAGCAGUGGAGGAUCAGGUAUUUAUAUAAUUGGUGCUAAAUACCAACUCAGAUUUGUGUGCUGUGAGAAAUAUUUUCUAUCAGUCAUUGUAUUGCUAUAUUAUACAGUAUAUGAAUAUAUGAAUAAGCUUUUGUUGGUAGGUAGUUGCAUCCCUGACAACAAAAGCUUGUUCAUAUAAUUGGCACUACUUACUCUGGCACAGACAGUUCAAGAUUAUGAAAAUAUAUAAAUAUUUUAACGUAUAAUUGAUUAUUAGCUUAAUUCUUUCAGACAUGCCCAACCAAAGUCCGGUGCAUCAAGCCAAAACCUAAAGCCCGAAGUUGCCUUGACUAUCGCAGGAUGGGUUUCAGCAAAAAUGGCUACUAUCAGAUCUCUCUCUUUCACAACCGCUUCGUCACCGUAUAUUGUGAUUUUGAAUCCGAGCCUGGGUCAGCAUGGACACUCGUUGAGUCAUUCUCGUUCGAGAACAGAAAAAUAAAAGAGGUUAUGAGACGUUCUUUCUCCGAAAACGCACCACUUAACGAGAACACACCCAACUGGUACCGAUAUCGAAUGUCCCACUCUCAAAUGAAUCAUUGCAAACAGCAAUCAACGCAUUGGCGAGUGACCUGCAGCUUUCCACAAGAUGCAAAGCACAUCUACACCGACUACUGCCGUACAACAUUUAAGAAUUUUGACGUAAUGACCUUUCGUAGCCACGGCGUUUGCAAAAAGAUGGAAUUCGUGAAUAUUCGGGGCCAUCAAUGCUCAUAUUGCACUUUAUUGUGGUACACAAAAAUAGGACGAGAAAUGAUGCAUGUCGACAGUCGUGCCAGUGCAAACUGUGAUCUUAAUGCAGCUCUUGGUUCAGUUGUUGAUGAAGAUAACUUUGGUUGGUACGCUUCUACGAACAGCAAGUUCAGAUGCACAGCUGGUCCCGAUUCGACAACAAACUGGUGGUUCGGAGGUUAUUACUAAACUCAAAGAGAUGUACUGAUCAUAAUAACAAAAGUACUAAAAGGUCCUUAAUUUAAAAUUUAACGCCUGUCUAUAUAUCUUUGACAAUAUAGUUGCACUUAUGCAGUAGAGUUAUUGUAAUUUGGGAAAUAUUAAAAUGUUCGAUUAGUAGAACAUGCUUUGUAUAGCAAACAGGUUUUUUCAUCACAAUAAAAUAAGGACUCCAUUUUGUUAAUAUACACCAGGACUCCAAAUAAUUUCCCUAGCCUGUCAUUAACUUACUAAAGUAUAUUAAUUUACCUAUCACUGCUCGACAAAGAUUGG
Paramuricea clavata is the source of this 1441-nucleotide non-coding RNA. The record is from the annotation of a GenBank genome assembly. NCBI's taxonomy places the organism in Eukaryota, Metazoa, Cnidaria, Anthozoa, Malacalcyonacea, Plexauridae.